Molecule: long non-coding RNA, 4977 nt
Organism: Camelus dromedarius (Arabian camel)
Lineage: Eukaryota; Metazoa; Chordata; Mammalia; Artiodactyla; Camelidae
Exons: 4
Source: RefSeq, a predicted model, not a curated record
UCUUACUGAUUUCAUCUGUAAAAAUGAAAUAUAAAUAUAAACUCUAAAAUGGAAACUCUAAAACUUCAUAGUUGUUGCCAAUAAACACAUAAAGCUCAACAAAGGAACACACAGUGGAGACCAGUUAUCUGCCGACACCUGUGAAACAUUCUGUCCUGCACGGACUCUGCUGUCACUAGCGUCACUUCUGAAAUCUAAGGCCAGCUCAGGAGUAGAGCUUUACAGCUUGGCCUCGUCAGGUACCCAGAUCCCCAAGCUCAGACAAUGGCAGGGAAACAGUUUACUGUUCACAUAUGCAUUUUCAAAAAAUAGUAUUAAAAUGAACACUGUACGUAUUUUGUUGUUUGUUUGAUAUCGUUAACAGAAAAGAAAAGAAAAAAAAAACAGGAAAAAAACCCAUGCAAUUACAAAUAAUGAGGCUAUGUCUGAAAAUUAUUUUUUUUUAAAUUAUGUUUAGGAUUUAUUGACCAGUUAGGAGAAAAGUCAUUUCAUAGGUGUAAUCCCUUGAUUGACUUAACUUGUUUUUUUAAUUAGGAAGAAGAGCGUGUUCCAUUUACCACCUGGGGAAAGUGUAUACAUAUAACCCUUUGUUCAAGUGCUCUUUUUCUGGUGUGACCCAGGUGGCUGUCUCCUUGAACUGAUGAUGCAGCUGACAAUAAUCAUGGGAGGACAGUCCAUCUGGAAAAACAUACAAGAGGUGUUAAUUCCAUGGGUCAUGAAUCUAAUGAUGCCACAGUUUCGGGAGCAGAAUAGACCACCCCACGAUGGGAAUGGGACAACCAUCUGUAUCCAACGGGCAAACUGGGGUUAUUUUAUGAAUACCCUGAAAUGAGAGUAAAAGAAGUUAUGUUGUCCUUCCAUCCUUCCACCACUCCAUGUUGUGUGUCCAUUCCUUCAACAGGUAUUCAGUUUGGGUUCACCACAGUAUAUGUGGCCUCUUUCCAGUGGCCCCUCUGUUGGCUCUGGAGAACAAUAUAUUGGAAAUCAGAGUGGGUACGUGGAACCUUGACUACCCAGUAUAGACGUAUGGUGCCAGAAAAAGCCCAGAACAUCUCAGCAUGGCAGCCAACCAUGCAAGGAACAGCAAUUCUGGCUGUGGUGGACCAAUGUGAAUAAAAAGGCUUCAUUGGGUGAAGACUUAGAAAAGUCGAAAAAUGCAUUGGCGUUGCUUCCUACGGAAUCCAGUGUUGGGUACUGUUUAAUAUGAGAGGGAGAUGCUAACACUAUCAUCGUUAUAAACAACAUAGUUGUUGUAACUGUAAUUGUUAUUAUUUUUAAUAUAUUUUCUUUAUAAUUAUUAUUUGUGACUUACAAGACCCUUACAGAGGCAGUUGUUAAGAAGCGUGGCAGUUAUACUCUUGCUGAAGUGUUAAUUCAGUAGAAGCAUGGUAAUAGCAUUAAUAAGUACUCACUCUUUUGAUCCUCACAUGACUCUAAAAGUCACCCAGCAGUGCUUGUAUAAUGGAGAUAGAAAUCUAUCCGUUUAAUUGUUUGUAGAACCUAAAAUAAGAGCAGUCAUUCCACCGCAUUUGACCAUAUAUUCCAGACUAUCAGUUUAAAGUAGGAACUACCUGAUGAGGCCAUAGAAACCCUUUGUGCCUCCCCAAUCGUUCAUUACCUUCCUGUCCUCUGGGGCAGAGUUUCUUCCAUAAGGUGGCCCCAUCUCUCCUCCCCACCCCACUCUUGGCCUUUGCUACCCACUGUUGUUCAUUAGCUAAGCAGCCUCAUGUUCUGCAUGUGUCUGAGCUGUGAGGGAACAGAACUCAGCUGUUUACAAACUCUAUUGACUAUAACUAGUCUGAACAGCCUCUCUCCUUCCCUGCCCAUAACCCCACAGGGCAACAGGGGGCUCACAACCACAGCGAUUCCCAUGCCAGCCCAACAGGGAACCUUCUUCCCUAGAAAUAUUCUUACAACCAGGGCUGUUUCCUCCCUUACUUCACUGCCAGUUUCACUCCCAGGUUACAGUCCCCAACAAAAGGCUAUCCCAGUUUGGAUAUCUUAAUCAAGUCGCAUUGACCCUGAGUACCUGGCAUUUUCACAUGAGCACUCAUAGAAAUAGAACAGGGCCUGGAAGUGGCUGUGGGCCAGGUUCCUGGGUGAGGGGACUUGGUUCUGUAGCCUGGCCCGAGCUGAGCUCCCAGCACGGCGUCUUCCCAUCUGCAUUAUUUCGGGCCAGGCUUCAACAGUUCAGAGUUUCAUUUUAUCAUCUGCAAACAGAAUAAUUCCCUGCUGCAUAUUUUAAGACUGUUAUGUACCACAAAGGGUGCUUAGGGAAUUCAGUGAGUCAAUGCAUGGAAGUCACAUAACCUGGUCCUCAGGAAAUGUUAGUUAUCUUCAUUAUGCACCAUCGAUAAAAUUGGCUCACAGACUCGGCCAGGUAUCAAAGCUACAGGCACAGGAAUUUGACAAUGUUUUACUGUCUGGAUCAUAGUCACAAUUUUACACAGUAAAACAAGCUACCUGGGACCACCCAGCUGUCAGCCCACCCGACUCCCCACCCCAGGAUCCCUCAAUUUAUCUGAUUUGCUUGCUACCCCUACUUUUUGGAGAAAGUUGGCAAAUCACAGUCAAUGGCUGCUAGGUUAUGUCCAUUCCCAUUCACUCAAAUUGCCCCAUUUUCAGUAUCCACUGUGCUGCAAAACAGACUAACGUUCAGAAAUAUGACAGCAAGGCCUUUCCCGUUCCACAGUCAGAGAACUAAGAAUCUGUCAUGUUUAAUAUGCCAUGUGACACUAAGCAAGGCAGGAAAACAGGCUCCUGUGCUUUAAGAAAGUUUUUAACAAUGACGUUUGAAACUAAAAGUGUUUUUGUUUGACCUUCAGAUAACCAGAAUAUUCAAUUGACUCCUAUUACCCAUUACUCAGAUGUCCUGAUUUGAUUGUAUUAGGCACUUUUUCCUCAUCUCCCCAGCAUGACUUGGCUCCAUCAGCACAGAUGGAGUGUCUCCAAGGCUGCUCCGUGUGCAUGGGCGUGUGAGUGCACACAUGUGCACCCACUGAAUGGUGCCACUGAUUCAUAUCCAGGAGUUGUUCUGUCUUAUAACUCAAGCAUUGCUUUAUUAUAUCCUAGAAAACUGCUUUUAGAUCAUUGAUUGAACUAUAGACCAUCCUCUUGCCCACAUUAGGAAUUGACAUCUUCCAAGACACAGGUCCUAUGUGUUUGUAUAUAUGUAUAAGUAAGAAUUAAAUAUGUAUGUCAUCCCCUCACAUAUUUAAUUUGUGCCUUCCCAAUUGAAUGUGCACAGUAAAGGCUAACUUCCCAUAACAGGAGAAAUUUUAGGAAGUAAGAAGAAUGAAUUAGCCACCAGGGAGAAGACAGGAUAUCAAGCAGGAGUUUGGUAUAAAGUCAUUUAUUCUAAAGCUGCUCUGGCUCAAUAAAUAAGUGGAAUUGACAUUGUUGUAUCAUGGCAGAGCAUCUGAAAUUGAAGACCAAUUUUAAUUUACUUUGAUAUAAGUGGAAAAUUGUGUCAGAACAGCAUGGGAAAUGAAGAACACUGCAUCUAUCUGUACUCCUGAAGUGUGUUUCAGAGCUGUUCAAUUUUGAGGAAAAUUAUCUUUUCUGGAGACAAUCGAAUUAUUUUCAUUGUUGGAAUUUUUGUAGCUUCCAGAAGCACAUCAGCAGGUGAUGCUGUAAAAGUCUAGAGUUGACUUAAAUAGCAGGAAAUUUUAGCCUAUUGAAAUCAGGAGAAGUGAAAUGUUUUUGCCUACCAACACCACCGCCACCACCACCACCAGGCAAGCACUUGUACACCCAGAGAGAUUUCACAUCAGAGGGAAUGACAAAGCUGGUUCUGUUACUGAGGCCAAACUUGUUCUGCUCACUGCACAACAGUGAUAAAUAAAUAAAUCAGGAGACAAGGUUUUGGGGCAAGGAAUAGUAACUUUAUUCAGAAAACUGGCAGACCAAGAAGAUGGGGGACUAAUAUCCUGGAGAAUCAUCUUUUCCAAGUCAGAAUUAAUUCUCCUUUUGAACUAAAAAGGGGAAGGGGUGUGGUUGGUUGUGCAAACUUCUUGCUGCCGGCAUUCUUUGUUCUUGCAGCCAUCCAUGUGGCUCAGGCUAUUGUGUCCCUGUAAGCCUGCAACAAAACAAAGGUUAUUCUCUAUUUUGCAACUUGCCAUCUCUGCGUAAGUGCAGAAGUGCUAACAUCCUUAAAGGUCAGAGCCCCGAGAAUAGGCUUUCCUGUAGGUUUUAGGCUAAAGGCAACGUUGUUUUACAAAAGGUGCAAAGCCAGCAAGAUUAAGCCUGGAAAACAUUUCACAGGGCUUCAAACUGAAGGAACAGAUCCAAUAUGGCGUCAGAUUUGUUCUCAAUUACAGUUUUAGUUAGGGGAAAUUUUGCAGCAGAAAAUCCCCUCAGUUGUUUUUCUUUCUUUGCCUGAGAUCUUGUUUGUUGGCUUGUGGUCUCAUGGUGUCAAAAUGGUAUGUUCAGAUGAGUACUAUUAAAAUCAUAUGGUGCAGAAAACAUAUCUAUUCUGCUUCAAAAGAUGACUGAAACAUUUAGCUUUGUUUAUUCCCAUAGAAUUUGGAUUGAAUCUAUUCUCGACUUCCUUCUUCUUCAAACCAGUUUUUUACUGGAGGGUUUAAAGCCCAAAUUAAAGAAUUUUGGAGAAGACUCAUGUAAUUUAUAAGACGUUUACUUCCGAAUUUAAGACUGACCCAUACUUGUACUUUUAAUCAAGGAACACAAUAAACUUUUUUAGUCGAUCAUUUAUGACGUUUUAUACUUUGUCCUUGUAAUCUUCUGGAAGUUGAGAGGCUUAGACAAUUGAUAUAACAGAACAGGUAUCAUUGCUCAACACUGUGAAUGAAAGAAUCCCAGUAUAGUUUCCUGAAAGUAUAUUUUAUUAAAAAUAAAAAAGAAUUCUUGCUCUCUAAUAAAGCAACAGACAGAAGCACAUACUGAGUGUUUAAAAUAAAUAAUACUAUGGGAAAAAUUAUCUAAGCAACUCAAGAUAGUAUAGAAAAAAGUAUGAAC